RNAcentral lists this non-coding RNA (50 nucleotides) under zebrafish metagenome. RNAcentral describes it as "serC leader". It matches the Rfam family "serC leader". From Rfam's summary of the family: This family is a putative regulatory RNA structure that is found upstream of the serC-serA operon in some alpha-proteobacteria. The record is from RNAcentral.
CGGCGGGACACCCUUCCCCACCGAAGGGCACAUAUCUGGAAGGAUAGUAU